CCCUGGGAAAACGCAGAGUCCAACAAUGGGAUAAAAAUGUGCCUCAAGAGUGGGUAAAUUGAACUCCCCCAAGCCACUGAAGAUUGCUAAGGGUCUUCAUUUUGGCAAUAUAGAUCCAAAUAUUGUGAUAACAGAGGUUACCAAAGGACUUUGUCUCCAUUAUAUAGGUAAGUAAUGAUGAUGCCAAGCUUUUUCUGUGGUCUGUGCCAUGUUUCCUUCUAACAUGACAGCAGCAUCAAUACAGCAAGAAUAGUUUACCUUGGUGCUGGGUUUUACAUUAAGAUCCUGUGUGUUUGGACUUAAAAACUUUAGUCCACUUAGAAGCUACCAGCAACCUGAGCAAGAGGCCCUGUAGUUUUACGCCUCAAACCAGCGUAAGCACUGCUUUUCAACUAAUACAAAGAAAAGGAAUUGGGGAGGGAGGUCUUUCGAGUAACCAUGGAAGUGACUUUAAAGAAUUGCAGGUUGUCAUUUUGGCAACCAGAGGUGCAGUCUUCAGAGUGGAGGACUCUGUGUGGCAGAGCCAGGCCUUGACCCAGUGUGACCCCCUGAUAUCGGGAACCACAAGAGACUUGUGCAGCUGCCUGGCCUCCAACCGGCCUGGGAGGCUGGCCAUUCCAGGAAACUAGCAGUGAUGGUAUCAUUCCUAGGAGCAUGAUUCACCCAAGAAGAAUGAAAACUUUAGAGCCAUGAAGGCUGACUGUGGAGGAUGGAAGGCUCAUCUCAUUCAUCUUUCUUUCCUGAGCACCCAUCAGUAAAUAUUGCCUUAAGUGAGAUGUGCAAAUUCCAGCUGCUGCUCAGAACUGAUGGUUGUAUGGCCUGUAGAAAAUGUCUUCAUUUCUUUAAUAAUUUUUUGCAGCCUACAUAAAUUUUCUUUUUUCCCGGAUUGGCCCUUGUGCAAAAAAAACAUUGCUUCCCACAGUUAUAAGCCAUUAUAAAUGAUGUGUACUACUUCCUUAAUUUCCCAUCAUUUGGAGUCUAGUGAGGAGACACAGAUUAGUAGAUAAGGUCAAAUUCAACUCAAUAAAAGUUGGGGGUCACUUCAGUCCUGAGUCAGGUACCAGCCUGGCCCAGCGGAGCUUAGUAUGAAAGUACUUUAUGAGGUUGAACAUUUGUAUGGUAUUGUAUAGCAUGUUUAAAAAGCCUAUCACAUAGAUGAUCUCAUUUGACUUUCACUGUAAGUAAAACCAAGGUAUCAGUACUGGUAUCAGUGAUGAACAGACUCAUAUGGGUUCAGGAGCUCUCUCAUGAUGUCCCUCUGCCAGCUGGACAGGGUCCAGGGGCCUCAGAAAAACCAUAUUCUUCAGUUUAUGUGGGAUAUUGCACAUUUCUAGGACUGUGAGUGUUGAUGAGAGGGUAGGGGUGUGUGUACUUGGGAAGGAAACGCAUAAUUCAGGUGUUCCUGAACAAAUUGUGAUCUAGAUGGAGUCCAGCCUUUUUGAAUCUGGCUACAAUGCUAGUGAACUGUCCCAGGUUAAAGGAAUUUGGAUCAACCCCUGGUAUCAAUUUGGCACCAGGUUUGAUAUAUAGUAGAGGGAGCUGUUUAACAAGCCAUGUUCUUCAUCCUGUUGAUAAGGGAGAAACAGGAGAAUAUGAAGUCAUGUAAGGGAGUGUGAGUUGUCCAAAGCUGAAACAAUUUCAUUUGCUGAAGUGAUCUGAGGAUUAGCAUGUCUUUCUAUAAUACACAAAUAUAUUUAGCACAGUGCUUGGCACUUAGUAGGUACUCAAUACAUGUUAAUAAGGUAUUAUGGUAAUAAAUAAUAGAUUAUGCAUGGUCCUGUUAUGGUUUUUUAAAGUUUUUUCCUUAGUCUUGAGUUCUGAUUCCUAUAUUGCUUUUGGAUGCCAGGUUAUUCUAUGUGCUUAUUUGGUUCUUGAUGUACUAGUUAUGCAAUAAAAUCUGUUGAAGGAAUAAAUGAAAGAAGGAAGGCUUGCAGUGACACUUUGUAUUUACUUCUAAGGCAAUG
Molecule: long non-coding RNA, 1964 nt
Filed under: Homo sapiens (human)
Lineage: Eukaryota; Metazoa; Chordata; Mammalia; Primates; Hominidae
Description: HSALNT0011386
Source: RNAcentral